AAUAUACUUUGGCCCAUAUGUUUAUUCAUGGGCUACAAGUUGCGUGCUAACUCACCAAUUAAACGUAUUUGCUUAAGUCCAACCCAUACCAUGACAUCUCAAUCUCAACCCACCAAUGAAACCUUUUGAAGUGUCGUUAACAUAUCUCUAAUUAUACUAUACUUUUAAGGUCCAUGUGUCUAAAAUUUUUAGUUCAACCCAGUCCGCGUGCAUGCCAUCUCAUGCUAUGUCCCUUAUCAACGUGUUCAUUUUCGUGCUAUACCCUGAUGUAUAGACCCGUGCCAUGACACAUGCCACCCGGCCCAUUGACCAUCUCUAGUUGUUGACUUAUAUGUAUUUUUGGUUAUUGUCUUAACACCAGGGAUAAAAUGAAAUUUUAAAAAUUUUAUUAGGGACCUAAUUUAUAAUAAUAAUAAUAAUAGUGUAAUUUUUAGAUUUUACCUAUUACCCCAUUAUCCUAUUAUCCACUAAUGUCAAAAUUCGAUUAUUCUGUAAAUGAGAUGCGUUUUUUCAGUAACAUUUUUUACAUGAGAGGUAAGGGGUUAUGGAAAACAGAGUUGGAGAAAACUGCAAAAGUUGAAAUCUGAAAAUAAAAAAAUGUCGUUCUCCCUAAAACUAAUAGGAUCAUAGCAUAAAGUUUAGCAAAUUAAUCUAAAAAAUCAUAUUGUUAUAAUCAAAUCUUUUCUCAUUCCUCUUUGAGACUUGUUUUUGUACUGACAAAUUUUGUUAUUUUCACUAUAAUUUUUUUUUAUUUUCACAAAACUUAAAUUAGUUUAAGAAUAAAGAAUUAUAACAAUUCUGAUCAGUGUUCUCUGGACUAGUUUGAAGAUGCAAUUCUGCACACUUUUGUUCUUGACCUUAACCAUUUAAUACGCUUUUACACAUUUAACUAGCUCUGGCGAUUUUUAAAUUAGCUAGAAUUACCUUACUGGAAGUGCUUGUUGAUCGCUUCUUUUAACAAAAAAUUAUGUCUACAUAAAAUUUCCCCUUAGCUUUAUCAAAAUGAUGAACCAACAAGAAAUGAUGUUUUGUGAUGGCAUUGGAAUACUUGGGCCCAUUUUCCGUACAAAAGCCAGUCGCUAACCGAUGUUGGGCUUCUCUUGACCAGUUUGAGAUCAAAGAGUUUGUGUUUGUCAGUUUUGAGUCCCAACCAUUAGCAGAAUGUACAUUCAAUUUGGGUAUCUCUGUUAUUGACAAUUGUUUCUACAUAGAGGUGGACUUGACUUCUUCCACACAGAUUUAAUCUAAUUGGUAACUACUUCAUUUUGAAUGGUACGCUUUUAUUCUUCCCCAAUCCGUAGAUAGAUGACGAUCAUCGUAAUAUAUAAUACAUUUAGGUAGCGUUUACUUUUUGGAUUGGAUUGGGAAUCCUAGGAGUGGGAAUCCUAUGAUUGGGAGUGUGGAGUGGGAGUGGGAGUAGGUUGUUUACUUACACUGGAAUGGAAGCAUGGAAUAGAGAUCAGAAUCCAAUUUAUGUGUUUACUUUGUCUUGGAUUGGGAGUAAAUAGUUUCAAAUUACAAUUUUAUCCUUAUUUAAAGAAUUAUAGUUUUUAAUUACAAAACUAAUAAAAAAUAUAUUUAAUGAAUAAUAUUUAUUUUAUUAUAUUUUUAAAUUUAUUAUAAUUAUUAAUAUUCUUAAUUAUGAACAAUAAAUUAUUAAUUUUAAUACAAAAUGAAACCUUAUUUUAUUUUAUUUAAUAUAAUUAUAUUAAAUUUAUUAUUAUAUAAAAUAAUAAUAUAAUAUUAUUUAGUACAAAAUUAAUAUUUUCUUAGAAUAAACUAUUUAUUAUUAUUAAUAUUAAAUAAAUAUAGUACUAUUAUUUUUAAAAUAAAUAUAAUAAUAUUAUAUUUAUUAAUUCUCUAUUAAUAUAAUAAUAUUAUUUUAAAAUAAUUUUAACUUAGAAUCAAUGCAAAUUAUUAUUUAGUUAAAUAUAAUAUUAUUAUUCAAAUAAAUAUAAUAAUAUUUAUUUUAUUUUAUUAAUUAUAAAAUAUUAAAUUAAAUUAAAAAAAUAAAAGGAUAAAAAAGAGAUUUUCCACUCCCACUCCCCACUCCAAAAAUAGGUAGAACCCACGGAGUGAGAUUCCCACUCUCUUCUUAUUUAGAGGAAGUAAACGUUGGAGUGGGAGGAAUCCACGCUCCUCACUUCCACUCCAUCAAGUAAACACAGCAUUAGUUACUAUAAGUAUUGUUUUAUUACUGUCAAAUCCAGUUUAAAGCAUUAUUCAAGUUGUUGGUGAUGGAAGCACAUAUUGCUUCGCUGCAUUCAAACAUUCAUUUACAGGUAGCAAAAUGGAUUACAAUACAAUUACAUGCUAUAAAUAUGCAUGAUUUUUUUUUUUUAUAUUCGUAUUGAUAAAUAUUGACACAAUUAAUAAAUGGAUUAACACGGCACACCACAAAAAAUAACCGUAUCGUAUUUAUAUUACACAAUCUCAAUAUGAUUAUAUGUUUAUAAUACGUGUAUCAAUUAAUAUGUAAUAAUAUUAUUGAAAAUACUAACUAAUCUAUAUACCGAACACUUAAUUAAUCAAUCGUGCACGUCUAUAUUGUGUUAUAACUUAUCCAUGUUAUAUUUAUAUUAUGUUAACUUAUUUAUGAUCUAUUUUAAAGAAUAAUAUUGACAUAUUUAUUAUUUUUUAAAA
Molecule: long non-coding RNA, 2643 nt
Filed under: Citrus x clementina
Lineage: Eukaryota; Viridiplantae; Streptophyta; Magnoliopsida; Sapindales; Rutaceae
Description: Citrus clementina (C. clementina) long non-coding RNA (CCLE_LNC006749)
Source: RNAcentral